GACGAACGCUGGCGGCGUGGAUAAGACAUGCAAGUCGAACGGGAACUUCAGCUGUAGCAAUACAGUUGAAGUUUUAGUGGCGAACGGGUGCGUAACACGUGGGCAAUCUGCCGAGAAGUGGGGGAUAGCUCGCCGAAAGGCGAAUUAAUACCGCAUAUGAUCAGCUAAGACAUCUUAGCGACAUCAAAGCCGGGGUAACCUGGCGCUUCUUGAUGAGCCCGCGGCCUAUCAGCUAGUUGGCGAGGUAACGGCUCACCAAGGCUAUGACGGGUAGCUGGUCUGAGAGGACGACCAGUCACACUGGAACUGAGACACGGUCCAGACACCUACGGGUGGCAGCAGUCGAGAA
Molecule: ribosomal RNA, 349 nt
Filed under: uncultured bacterium
Lineage: Bacteria
Description: bacterial SSU rRNA
Rfam family: Bacterial small subunit ribosomal RNA
Source: RNAcentral